UGCGGUCGUACUCCCCAGGCGGUGUGUUUAUCGGUUUCCUGCGACACUGAAAAUAAAUUUCCAACGUCUAACACACAUCGUUUACGGCAUGGACUACGAGGGUAUCUAAUCCUCUUCGCUACCCAUGCUUUCGUUCCUCAGUGUCAGUAAUGAUCCAGAAAGCUGCCUUCGCAAUUGGUAUUCUUUCUAAUAUCUACGAAUUUCACCUCUACACUAGAAAUUCUGCUUUCCUCUAUCAUACUCUAGCUGAAAAGUUUUGAUGGCGGUUCCAGAGUUAAGCUCUGGGAUUUCACCACCAACUUUUUCAACCACCUACGAACUCUUUAAGCCCAGUAAUUCCGAACUACGCUAGGUCCCUUCGUAUUACCGCGGCUGCUGGCACGAAGUUAGCCGGACCUUCUUAUUCGGGUACAGUCAUUUUCUUCCCCGACGAAAGAGCUUUACAACCCAAAGGCCUUCUUCACUCACGCGGCAUCGCUGCAUCAGAGUUUCCUCCAUUGUGCAAGAUUCCCCACUGCUGCCUCCCGUAGGAGUUUGGGCCGUGUCUCAGUCCCAAUGUGGCUGAUCAUCCUCUCAAAUCAGCUAUUGAUCAUAGUCUUGGUAGGCCAUUACCCUACCAACAAACUAAUCAAGUGCGGGCUCAUCCAAUGGUGCAUAAAGCUUUCUCCGUAAAGACUUAUCCGGUAUUAGCACAAGUUUCCUCGUGUUAUUCCAGGCCAAAGGGUAGAUACCCACAUGUUACUCACCCGUCUGCCACUAAGUAUUGCUACUUCGUUCGACUUGCAUGUGUUAGGCGUGCCGCCAGCGUACGUUCUGAGCCAGGAUCAAACUCU
RNAcentral lists this ribosomal RNA (833 nucleotides) under uncultured bacterium. RNAcentral describes it as "partial 16S ribosomal RNA". The record is from RNAcentral.